This 226-nucleotide ribosomal RNA is filed under the name uncultured bacterium. Its description in RNAcentral is "partial 16S ribosomal RNA". It matches the Rfam family "Bacterial small subunit ribosomal RNA", at positions 538 to 763 of the family's 1533-position model. The record is from RNAcentral.
GCGUUAUCCGGAUUCACUGGGUUUAAAGGGUGCGUAGGUGGGAAUGUAAGUCAGUGGUGAAAUCUCCGUGCUUAACACGGAAACUGCCAUUGAUACCAUGUUUCUUGAAUCUUCUGGAGGUUAGCGGAAUAUGCCAUGUAGCGGUGAAAUGCUUAGAUAUGACAUAGAACACCAAUUGCGAAGGCAGCUAACUACAGGGGCAUUGACACUGAGGCACGAAAGCGUG